GACGAACGCUGGCGGCGUGCUUAACACAUGCAAGUCGAACGAGAGCGUAGAGAAAGCUUGCUUUUUCUACAAUCUAGUGGCAAACGGGUGAGUAACGCGUAAACAACCUGCCCUACGGAUGGGGACAACAGCUGGAAACGGCUGCUAAUACCGAAUACGUUCCGAAAGUCGCAUGACUAUCGGAAGAACGGAUGGCCUCUAUUUAUAAGCUAUCGCCUGAGGAGGGUUUUGCGUCUGAUUAGCUAGGUUGAGGGGUAACGGCCCAUCAAGGCGAAGAUAAGUAGGCGGGCUGAGAGGGUGAACGGCCAAACUGGAACUGAGACACGGUCCAGACUCCUACGGGAGGCAGCAGUGGGGAAUCUUCCGCAAUGGGCGAAAGCCUGACGGAGCAACGCCGCGUGAGUGAAGACGGCCUUCGGGUUGUAAAGCUCUGUUAUACGGGAAGAAUAAUCUUGUGGUUAAUACCCAUGAGAAGUGACGGUACCGUAAGAGAAAGCCACGGCUAACUACGUG
Molecule: ribosomal RNA, 513 nt
Filed under: uncultured bacterium
Lineage: Bacteria
Description: partial 16S ribosomal RNA
Rfam family: Bacterial small subunit ribosomal RNA
Source: RNAcentral